Molecule: long non-coding RNA, 3805 nt
Filed under: Populus trichocarpa (black cottonwood)
Lineage: Eukaryota; Viridiplantae; Streptophyta; Magnoliopsida; Malpighiales; Salicaceae
Description: long non-coding RNA (PTRI_LNC002163)
Source: RNAcentral
GUUGGGAUAUUGCCAUUUAGUGGCAAUACCCCACCACUAAUUGUGGCUUAGUGGAAGCAUCACUAAUGCCACAAUUAGUGGCAUGAUUUCGGGACCUAUUGUCCCCUUGCUAUUGCUGGAGAAAGUUGCCAAGAAUUGCCUAUAAAAUAGGCAUGUUUUGAGAGAGGGGAUAGAGAGAAAACGUGAGUGUGUGCAAGAGAGUGAAGAGAGAAAGAGAGAGCUGCAAUGGCUGCUGCCAUUGCAGCAGCUGUAAGAGCACCAAAGUGAGCUGGGAGUUGAGUGAUCCUCCUCCAUGUAUUUGUUGUAAUCCUUUCUCUAUAUAUCUCUAAUAAUAUGGACUCUCCCGUGGAUGUAGGCGGUUUUGCCGAACCACGUUAAAUAUUGUGUCAGUGUGCUUUACCCUCCUAUGAGCAAAUAUCAGUACACCCCCGGUCCGCGCAUGGGGUGCCGGAAUUUCCCAACAAUUGGUAUCAGAGCACAUGGUUUAAAGGGGUGUUUGAUUUUUGCUCAAAAAUGAAAGUUGUCAAAAUUGUGUUUUGACCAUACCACUGUGUAGAGGAGGCCGAGACGAAGCCACUGGUGAAAACGACGUCAAAAUCGAAUGUCGGACAUGGCCGCACUCUCCAUCACUCUCCGGCAGGGCGUCUGCCCACGCGCGCAGACGCGCCCCACGCGUCUUCUUCGCCCGGAUGAGUUGACCCGACCCGACCCGAAUACCAGUUGACCCGACCCAUGUGACUGACCCGGAUAUGAAUGGCAUCAGCAUGACGUAAAAGUGACGUCAGCGUGAAUAGUAGACAUGCCAGGGAUGACAUUAGCAUGAUGUAAUUGUGACAUCAUCAUGUACAGUAGCAUGGCCCAUAAUGACAUCAGCAUGAUGUAAUGGAGAUGUCAGCAUGUACAGUCAUCAUGACAUGCCAGCGUCCAGUCAGCAGACACGUCAUCACAGUUGGACCCACCUGCCACGUCAUCAGCCGCGAGCCUAGCCGAGCCGAGUUGAGCCGAGCCGAGCCUCGAGCCGAGAGAUAAGAUUCUGUGCAGCAGAGUCUACGUGCAACCGGAUUUGAGAUUGAAUCUGGGCCGCUCAUUAGGCCAGAAUUGUUUUGAUCAAAUCUUAGCUGUCUGAAAUGCGAUUUGGACGAUUUCAGACUUGUUUCCAGCUAAUUUGAUCAUUCCGGAUGCAAUGGUACGGUCCGAUCGUUGAGAUUUGAGACCAAAAAUAGCGGUGGUGAAUUAACAAAAGAGAUUGCCCGAUCAGGAGGCAUCUGAAGGUCAUCAUGGUGGUCGAUGGAGAUGAAGAAGAAGAAGGUGCACAUGUUUACCCAAUUACAUGUGUUGAACUGCUAAGUGGAGAGAAUUUUAAUUGCUUUGAAGGAAGGCAAAAUUGGGACACUCUGGACACCCGAUUAUGUGGACAAUUUGAGGUGUAGAGUGGAAACUGAUGAAGACCAAUUUUGACGAAUCUAAGCACUGGUAGUCUCGCCAGAUGUUGAGAAAUGAUGUAUUAAACCAGUAUAUUCCAGAUCACUUGUAAAGGAAAGCCGCAACAAAGCUAGCAAAUGGUUGUAUAUACGGAAAGACAGUACGAUGGAUAGAUAUGGCCUAAGAAGUUCUGUCUAGGAGAUUGGGUUUUAAGCGGGACCAGUGUGACCCCUCCAAUCUUUCCUGGGAACUUGCUUAGUGGAAGGAUUAUCCACACGGUACUAUUUUCGUAUAUAUAGCAGUUUGUAAUGAAACGGUUGAAGACUAGCAGGAUGACGGCACAAGGGAACAGUUGGGUUCCGUAUGAUCAAGGAUCUGAUGAAGUGGUGAUUUCUCCAAAGAAGUUAGAUUCGGUGACUGUGAUUUCUCGAGGGAAGAAUUGAUGAAGACCCUGAUAAUGAAAGAGGAAUACAGUAAGGGGAUAAAGAUUGGCACCCUAUUUUGACUUGGACAGGUGUUGUGACAGGAUGAGCUGCUGUCAAACAUAAGCAAGGAAUAGGGAGAAAUCUGGAGAACAGAAAUUGCACGAGGGCACACAGAUAUUGUGCAGGAGUACCCGUAGGAUCCAACGAGGUACUGUAAUGAGACAACAGGUGCAAGGAGAAGAAGUGUUCCCAGAUGAAGCUCAGAGCAGAGACUGUUAAAGUUUGUACAACAGGAAGUCUCUUAUGCUCUUGAUGAAAACAACAUGUGAAGACCUUUCCAAUACAUGCAAGGAUGGAAAGAGAGCUGUUGCAGAGGCACCUAAUUGAGGGGGUGCAAACGCCUGUGAUAAAAGGCGACCGCCUAUGAUGAAAGGCGAAGACACCAAAGAGAGUUGGUGUAGGUGGAGUUGUCAAGCAGAAAGGCGUAGAAGCUCCAAACAUAGAAAUCGAGGUGGAGGAUUGCGAGGAGUAUACCGCAACUUUCUCUUUCUAUGUAGUCAGUGGCAGUAAUCUCUCCCAUAGUGCACAUGGUGGUAGAGAAUCUUAAAGCCACUUUGAUGCAUCCCAGCUGAAGGAGGAUGCGGCCACCUAUGAAAGGUGAAGACACCUUAGAUGGAAGGUGUGUGAGGGCCAUGAUAAGAGCCCGGAUCAGACCGCCCCAUGACAACGGGCGAAGACACCUUAGAGAAGGUGUGAGGGCCGUGAUAGAAGCCCCAGUUCAGACCGCCGUAUGGUUACGAGCGGAGACACCUAAGGAGAAGGUGUGUGGGCCACGAUAUGAGCCCAGUUCAGAACGCCCCAAAGCCGAUGUGAUGGCUAGAUACAAGUGGACAGGUGUAUGGAUAGCCAAUGAAGUGGCUAUGAUGAGUAUGGAGACAAAUGCAGGAUUGACUUUCAUGGAUAUUGCCCCCAUGCUAAAGAUCAAUGAGCUAGAAGACAUUUGCCUUGGACAAUAAGUGGGUGACUUGUGGAGCAUUAAGACGCGGCUGCUAUGAAGAAGCAGAGGGCAUGCGCAGGUUCCGGGAACGAGUUGACUCUUGUCAAGGUGGUGAGCUCGGUAAUGGCAUUGUAAUACUCAGAGUAUGAAGACAGAUAUGGAUCAACCUUUAUGGGCUGCCCCCAUGGUUAAAGGUGGAGAGCUACCUGGACUCUUACGACUAAGAGCGAGAGACUCACGGAGAAGUAAGGCGUGGUUCCUAGGGUGGAACAGAGGGCAGGCGCAACUCCUGGAUGAGUAGACUCUUGGAAGAGUGGUGAGCUUGUGAUCACAUUGAAAUACUCAAUGACCGUCGCACUUGGGAAUAUUCGUUUGAGGGGGUGUUGCAAGCCUUGGUGUAAGGCUUGAAAAAUCAUUCCGGACCGAGCAUGGUUGAUACGCUCGAAGGGGAAUGUUGUGUUGAAGACGCUCUCAGAAUGGUAAGCUUGGAAGAGCUGCAAAAUGCAAGCUUGUGCUGAAGAAGCAAAAGGACAAUUGCCCACACAAAUGGCAAAGGGGGUGAUUGUUGGGAUAUUGCCAUUUAGUGGCAAUACCCCACCACUAAUUGUGGCUUAGUGGAAGCAUCACUAAUGCCACAAUUAGUGGCAUGAUUUCGGGACCUAUUGUCCCCUUGCUAUUGCUGGAGAAAGUUGCCAAGAAUUGCCUAUAAAAUAGGCAUGUUUUGAGAGAGGGGAUAGAGAGAAAACGUGAGUGUGUGCAAGAGAGUGAAGAGAGAAAGAGAGAGCUGCAAUGGCUGCUGCCAUUGCAGCAGCUGUAAGAGCACCAAAGUGAGCUGGGAGUUGAGUGAUCCUCCUCCAUGUAUUUGUUGUAAUCCUUUCUCUAUAUAUCUCUAAUAAUAUGGACUCUCCCGUGGAUGUAGGCGGUUUUGCCGAACCACGUUAAAUAUUGUGUCAGUGUGCUU